RNAcentral lists this ribosomal RNA (484 nucleotides) under uncultured bacterium. Its description in RNAcentral is "partial 16S ribosomal RNA". It matches the Rfam family "Bacterial small subunit ribosomal RNA", at positions 29 to 507 of the family's 1533-position model. The record is from RNAcentral.
AUUGAACGCUGGCGGCAUGCUUUACACAUGCAAGUCGAACGGCAGCGCGGGCUUCGGCCUGGCGGCGAGUGGCGAACGGGUGAGUAAUUCAUCGGAACGUGCCCAGUAGUGGGGGAUAGCCCGGCGAAAGCCGGAUUAAUACCGCAUACGACCUGAUGGUGAAAGCGGGGGACCGAAAGGCCUCGCCCGAUUUGAUCGGCCGAUGUCGGAUUAGCUAGUUGGUGGGGUAAAGGCUUACCAAGGCGACGAUCCGUAGCUGGUCUGAGAGGACGACCAGCCACACUGGGACUGAGACACGGCCCAGACUCCUACGGGAGGCAGCAGUGGGGAAUUUUGGACAAUGGGGGCAACCCUGAUCCAGCCAUGCCGCGUGCGGGAAGAAGGCCUUCGGGUUGUAAACCGCUUUUGUUCGGGAAGAAAUCCUCUGGGCUAAUACCCCGGGGGGAUGACGGUACCGGAAGAAUAAGCACCGGCUAACUACGUG